GGUGAGUGAGAGAUAAGGUUGAACUUUGAACAUCAUGUGAAACGUUCAUUGGACUGAAUCUAAUUGAAGUCUUAAAAGCCGGAGUAUUGACUGAGCAUGAUCACUAAAGUUAAGACCGGUAGUUCUAUUGCCGGAUGAAGAGAAAAGUUUAUGAGAUUUUUAUCAUUCAAAUUAAUUUGUUAAUUCACUGACAGUUUUUGUUUCGGCAGACAUGUUACUUGAGGACAAGCAACAAUUCAAGUUUGGGGUUGU
This 252-nucleotide long non-coding RNA is filed under the name Trifolium pratense (red clover). Its description in RNAcentral is "long non-coding RNA (TPRA_LNC005333)". The record is from RNAcentral. Lineage: Eukaryota; Viridiplantae; Streptophyta; Magnoliopsida; Fabales; Fabaceae.